GCAACAUUGGUGAACAGGACAGUAAUUCUUGUCGGACAGUCGCAGCGAGCCGGAGCAGGUGGGAACCGGUACGAAUGUCAAGAGUGAAGCGGGCCUGGGAAAUGGUCUUCCGAAAGUACGACGUAGGGAGAUCCGGCAUAAGCCGUUAUCGUUGGAGUGGUUAAACCAGUGGUUUAACACUUAGAGUGGUACCGCGGGAAUGAACAGCUCUCGUCUCUUAU
RNAcentral lists this non-coding RNA (221 nucleotides) under Paenibacillus sp. Its description in RNAcentral is "T-box sequence". It matches the Rfam family "T-box leader". From Rfam's summary of the family: Uncharged tRNA acts as the effector for transcription antitermination of genes in the T-box leader family. T-boxes are found upstream of many aminoacyl-tRNA synthetase genes and some amino acid biosynthetic genes usually in Gram-positive bacteria. The record is from RNAcentral. Lineage: Bacteria; Bacillati; Bacillota; Bacilli; Caryophanales; Paenibacillaceae.